Molecule: long non-coding RNA, 926 nt
Organism: Apis dorsata (giant honeybee)
Lineage: Eukaryota; Metazoa; Arthropoda; Insecta; Hymenoptera; Apidae
Exons: 4
Source: RefSeq, a predicted model, not a curated record
GAACGAUUCUCCGCCAUUACAAUAUUCUUCGAUAGAUUUCGAUUCGAUUAUUGGCGCUGACGUCGCGAUCAAUCGUAACUUAUCGUUUGAUUCGAUUAUCGCAACGAAUACGAUCAGUGCUCGACAUGAUCUUCACAGUGAAGUAAAAAAAUUUACAUUCGUGACAUGUGAGUGGGAAUAUUAUAGAGAAAAUAAAUGGAAAGAGGUCAAGAACAUUUUGAAAUUUCUUCAAAUUUCUCCAAUCUGAAACAAAACUUCCACGAGCUUUGGUAGAAAAAGUUACUUCAUUACAAGAAUCAACGAAUUAUAUCUGUCGAUAUCAGAGCGGAAGCUUCAACUUCCAGGUUCCGGCUUAUAGACUCGACUUAAACGACGUUAUAAUUGUGAAACGAGACGACGACGACGACGACGAGGAAUGGACGAACGAAAUCCAAUUACGCGGCGCCCAAGGUCGAACAAAUUCAAUCCCGAGGGAAAAACCGGUAGUUAAGAUUCCGAAACGGUAAUUGUCGAUGCUCGAGGUGAAACGUUGGGGAAAUGUAAUUCAAUUCUUUGUCUCGUUCGAGACGAAAGUAGUCAUUCGAGUCAUUGGAGAAGAAGAAUCAAUCGUAUCAUUUAUUUGUUUUUAUCGAUUUAUCGUAAUUUUCGUAGAAAUAUUUAUUAUUCAAGUAUUAAUUCAAUCGUACAUACAUACAUGUAUAAUUUAAUAUUCGUUUUGAUCCAGUUUAUUAUCAUAUCAUAUCGUAAACGUGUUUGGAUAAAUCGAAUACGAAAAUCAGAAAAAAAAGAUAUCGUUGAAAAGAAUUUCAACGAAUAAUACACUUACAUUUCUCCUGUAAUUAUUCAAACUUGUUAUUAAUUGAACACAAGCAAAUCAAAUUUAUCUUAAUUUUCAAUCGAUCGAUCUCAUUGCAAUCUUUCUUAUU